This is a non-coding RNA of Prunus avium (sweet cherry), 1113 nucleotides long. The record is from RefSeq and is a predicted model, not a curated record. Lineage: Eukaryota; Viridiplantae; Streptophyta; Magnoliopsida; Rosales; Rosaceae.
CUUGAGCUAUUGCAAGAACAAGCCUGCUCAUCAAAACCACAGCCCUCAACACAGCAUCAAUUGCUCCUCACUUUUCUUUGUUUUUCUUUUUCCUUCAACUCUAUUUGAUCGUCGAACUUUGUUGGUGGUGGAAGCUAAAGCCACAAUUUAUAGGGAUAACCUUUGGCCAUCUAUGGUUCUAAGCAUGAUUUGGAGCUAAUUACAUGAGCUGUAAUGAAGCAUAGAUUGAAGCGAUACAUGCAUGACUAUCCUUUUGAGCAUAAUUGAAGGUGUCUCUUUUGAUUUCAUGGCGAUGACCAGUGAAGACCACCCACAGUUCAGUCCAAAAUAUUUCUCUGGUCCUUUGAUUUAGCUGAUCAUGGCUAAUAAUGGAGACUUUUUCAUUGAAGAUCAUUUGCAUCGAGUUCCUUCCUUUGAUCAAGUCUUUUUGUCUGGACAAAAUUCCUUGUGGCAGCUUCAUUUUCUCACCUCAAAAGUUAAAUUUAUAUAAUUUAGCAAUUUUUGGUGUCUAUAUAUCAUUAUCGAAAUCUAUAAUGUUUCAAGCACUAAAAUACUUGCACUUUUAGAGACAAAUAACAUCAUAUGUAGAGACAAAUAACAUCAUAUGAAAAUUUAUUGGUAGUUCUCAUAAGUUUGAGAACCUAAGUCGUCACUAAAGGUCUGAAAUUCGCUGCUAGAGAACGAAAAACCGCCGCAUCAGCUCCAAAUUCGUCAUUUUAAGCAAGAUUGGCUACUUUUCUGCUGAUUGAAGUGAUAUAUAUGUCUCUACUCUGAUGAGUUGCACUUUCUUUGAUCAACUUUGCAGUUCCUUUGGUUUAGGUGAUCAUGACUGCAAUGGAGCUUUUCCUUUGCAGAUUUGCACAGUUCCUUUGAUUUUUGUGAUCAUGAUGAACCUCAAAUAAUUGUUACAUUUUUCAAACAAAAGAAAAACCAUAGUAAUAUCCGAGUGUAAAAAACAUCCAUGGUGACCGUCGCACCGGAAGAUUACUCCAAGACUGCGAGGCUUUCAAGCAAGCCCUCAAGAUUCAAGAGAUUUGAUAUCAAGUUCCAGCCCAUCCAUGUUUUCUUAUCAGAAGGGUGUGCAAAAUUGAGUUCAAACAUCUCCUUGCUAAC